AAAAUUUUAAGUUAAAAAACUAUAAACCUUCAAAGUUUAAAUUAUAUAUAAUAAUUAUAUAAAUUUUA
Molecule: transfer RNA, 68 nt
Filed under: Encarsia obtusiclava
Lineage: Eukaryota; Metazoa; Arthropoda; Insecta; Hymenoptera; Aphelinidae
Description: tRNA-Trp
Source: RNAcentral